UUUCUGGUAAUCUAAAAAAGAUUAUAAACUGUAAAUUUAUCCAUGGUCCAACCUCAGAAGC
This 61-nucleotide transfer RNA is filed under the name Liposcelis bostrychophila. RNAcentral describes it as "tRNA-Tyr". Lineage: Eukaryota; Metazoa; Arthropoda; Insecta; Psocodea; Liposcelididae. The record is from RNAcentral.